GCAGCUACACAUGCAGUCGAGCGGCAGCGGGAAAGUAGCUUGCUACUUUUGCCGGCGAGCGGCGGACGGGUGAGUAAUGCCUGGGAAAUUGCCCAGUCGAGGGGGUUAACAGUUGGAAACGACUGCUAAUACCGCAUACGCCCUACGGGGGAAAGCAGGGGACCUUCGGGCCUUGCGCGAUUGGAUAUGCCCAGGUGGGAUUAGCUAGUUGGUGAGGUAAUGGCUCACCAAGGCGACGAUCCCUAGCUGGUCUGAGAGGAUGAUCAGCCACACUGGAACUGAGACACGGUCCAGACUCCUACGGGAGGCAGCAGUGGGGAAUAUUGCACAAUGGGGGAAACCCUGAUGCAGCCAUGCCGCGUGUGUGAAGAAGGCCUUCGGGUUGUAAAGCACUUUCAGCGAGGAGGAAAGGUUGAUGCCUAAUACGUAUCAACUGUGACGUUACUCGCAGAAGAAGCACCGGCUAACUCCGUGCCAGCAGCCGCGGUAAUACGGAGGAUGCAAGCGUUAAUCGGAAUUACUGGGCGUAAAGCGCACGCAGGCGGUUGGAUAAGUUAGAUGUGAAAGCCCCGGGCUCAACCUGGGAAUUGCAUUUAAAACUGUCCAGCUAGAGUCUUGUAGAGGGGGGUAGAAUUCCAGGUGUAGCGGUGAAAUGCGUAGAGAUCUGGAGGAAUACCGGUGGCGAUGCGGCCCCCCGGACAAAGACUGACGCUCAGUGCGAAAGCGUGGGGAGCAAACAGGAUUAGGUACCCUGGUAGUCCACGCCGUAACGAUGUCGAUUUGGAGCUGUGUCCUUGAGACGUGCUUCCGGAGCUACGCGUUAAAUCGACCGCCUGGGGAGUACGGCCGCAAGUUAAACUCAAUGAAUUGAC
Molecule: ribosomal RNA, 872 nt
Filed under: uncultured bacterium
Lineage: Bacteria
Description: bacterial SSU rRNA
Rfam family: Bacterial small subunit ribosomal RNA
Source: RNAcentral